RNAcentral lists this ribosomal RNA (468 nucleotides) under uncultured bacterium. RNAcentral's name for it is "partial 16S ribosomal RNA". It matches the Rfam family "Bacterial small subunit ribosomal RNA", at positions 28 to 507 of the family's 1533-position model. The record is from RNAcentral.
GACGAACACUGGCGGCGUGCUUAACACAUGCAAGUCGAACGGAAAGGCCCUGCCUUUGUGGGGUGCUCGAGUGGCGAACGGGUGUGUAACACGUGAGUAACCUGCCCUUGACCUUGGGAUAACUUCAGGAAACUGGGGCGCAUACUGGAUAGGAGCUCCUGCUGCAUGGGGGGGGUUGGAAAGUUUCGGCGGUUGGGGAUGGACUCGCGGUUUCUCAGCUUGUUGGUGGGGUAGUGGCUUACCAAGGCUUUGACGGGUAGCCGGCCUGAGGGGGUGAACGGCCACAUUGGGACUGAGGUACGGCCCAGACUCCUACGGGAGGCAGCAGUGGGGAAUAUUGCACAAUGGGCGGAAGCCUGAUGCAGCAACGGCGCGUGCGGGAUGACGGCCUUCGGGUUGUAAACCGCUUUCGCCUGUGACGAAGCGUGAGUGACGGUAAUGGGUAAAGAAGCACCGGCUAACUACGUG